GACGAACGCUGGCGGCGUGCUUAACACAUGCAAGUCGAACGGAAAGGCCCUGCUUUUGUGGGGUGCUCGAGUGGCGAACGGGUGAGUAACACGUGAGUAACCUGCCCUUGACUUUGGGAUAACUUCAGGAAACUGGGGCUAAUACCGGAUAGGAGCUCCUGCUGCAUGGUGGGGGUUGGAAAGUUUCGGCGGUUGGGGAUGGACUCGCGGCUUAUCAGCUUGUUGGUGGGGUAGUGGCUUACCAAGGCUUUGACGGGUAGCCGGCCUGAGAGGGUGACCGGCCACAUUGGGACUGAGAUACGGCCCAGACUGCUACGGGAGGCAGCAGUGGGGAAUAUUGCGCAAUGGGCGGAAGCCUGAUGCAGCAGCGCCGCGUGCGGGAUGACGGCCUUCGGGUUGUAAACCGCUUUCGCCUGUGACGAAGCGUGAGUGACGGUAAUGGGUAAAGAAGCACCGGCUAACUACGUG
Molecule: ribosomal RNA, 468 nt
Filed under: uncultured bacterium
Lineage: Bacteria
Description: partial 16S ribosomal RNA
Rfam family: Bacterial small subunit ribosomal RNA
Source: RNAcentral